AUUGAACGCUGGCGGCAGGCCUAACACAUGCAAGUCGAGCGGCAGCACGGGUACUUGUACCUGGUGGCGAGCGGCGGACGGGUGAGUAAUGCCUAGGAAUCUGCCUGGUAGUGGGGGAUAACGCUCGGAAACGGACGCUAAUACCGCAUACGUCCUACGGGAGAAAGCAGGGGACCUUCGGGCCUUGCGCUAUCAGAUGAGCCUAGGUCGGAUUAGCUAGUUGGUGAGGUAAUGGCUCACCAAGGCGACGAUCCGUAACUGGUCUGAGAGGAUGAUCAGUCACACUGGAACUGAGACACGGUCCAGACUCCUACGGGAGGCAGCAGUGGGGAAUAUUGGACAAUGGGCGAAAGCCUGAUCCAGCCAUGCCGCGUGUGUGAAGAAGGUCUUCGGAUUGUAAAGCACUUUAAGUUGGGAGGAAGGGCAGUUACCUAAUACGUAUCUGUUUUGACGUACCGACA
This 461-nucleotide ribosomal RNA is filed under the name uncultured Pseudomonas sp. RNAcentral's name for it is "bacterial SSU rRNA". It matches the Rfam family "Bacterial small subunit ribosomal RNA", at positions 30 to 483 of the family's 1533-position model. The record is from RNAcentral. Lineage: Bacteria; Pseudomonadati; Pseudomonadota; Gammaproteobacteria; Pseudomonadales; Pseudomonadaceae.